AAAGGAAUUGACGGGGAGCACCACAACGGGUGGAGCUUGCGGUUUAAUUGGAUUCGAACGCCGGAAAUCUUACCGGGACCGACAGCAAUAUGAAGGCCAGGCUGAAGACUUUGCCGGAUUAGCUGAGAGGUGGUGCAUGGCCGUCGUCAGUUCGUACUGUGAAGCAUCCUGUUAAGUCAGGCAACGAGCGAGACCCACGCCCACAGUUGCCAGCGUACUCUCUGGAGUGACGGGUACACUGUGGGGACCGCCGCUGCUAAAGCGGAGGAAGGAAUGGGCAACGGUAGGUCAGUAUGCCCCGAAUAUCCCGGGCUACACGCGAGCUACAAUGGUUGGUACAAUGGGUAUCUACCCCGAAAGGGGACGGGAAUCUCCUAAAACCAAUCUUAGUUCGGAUUGAGGGCUGCAACUCGCCCUCAUGAAGCUGGAAUCCGUAGUAAUCGCGUUUCAACAGAACGCGGUGAAUACGUCCCUGCUCCUU
Molecule: ribosomal RNA, 481 nt
Filed under: uncultured Methanosaeta sp.
Lineage: Archaea; Methanobacteriati; Methanobacteriota; Methanomicrobia; Methanotrichales; Methanotrichaceae
Description: bacterial SSU rRNA
Rfam family: Archaeal small subunit ribosomal RNA
Source: RNAcentral